This 512-nucleotide ribosomal RNA is filed under the name Nebrioporus nipponicus. Its description in RNAcentral is "partial 16S ribosomal RNA". The stretch from base 388 to 512 matches the Rfam family "Bacterial large subunit ribosomal RNA", at positions 2473 to 2597 of the family's 2925-position model. The record is from RNAcentral. Lineage: Eukaryota; Metazoa; Arthropoda; Insecta; Coleoptera; Dytiscidae.
GUCCUUUAGAAUUAAUUAUUUAAGGUCUAACCUGCCCACUGAAUUAUUUUAAAUGGCCGCAGUAAAUUGACUGUGCAAAGGUAGCAUAAUCAUUAGUUUUUUAAUUAAAAGCUUGUAUGAAUGGUUUGACGAAAUAAAAUCUGUCUCUAAAUAAUAAUAAGAAUUUAAUUUUUAAGUUAAAAAGCUUAAAUUAAAAUAAAAGACGAGAAGACCCUAUAGAUCUUUAUAUUAAAUUUAAUAAUUUUAUUUAAGAUUUUUUAUAUAAUUAUUAAUUUUAUUAUUAUAUUGGGGUAAUAGGAAGAUUAAUAAAAUUCUUUUUAAUUUUUUUACAAUAAUAAUUGUUUAUUUGAUCCUUAAUUUAAGAUAAUAAGAUUAAGUUACCUUAGGGAUAACAGCGUAAUUUUUUUAAAGAGUUCAUAUCGAUAAAAAAGUUUGCGACCUCGAUGUUGGAUUAAAAAUUAUUUUGGGUGCAGAAGCUUGAAAAUAUUGGUCUGUUCGACCAUUAAAUUUUU